This 229-nucleotide long non-coding RNA is filed under the name Ananas comosus (pineapple). RNAcentral describes it as "long non-coding RNA (ACOM_LNC011361)". The record is from RNAcentral. Lineage: Eukaryota; Viridiplantae; Streptophyta; Magnoliopsida; Poales; Bromeliaceae.
AAAAAAAGAAUUUAUCUUGAGGUCUGUUGAGGAGGUCAGUGGAGUUUGGGAGCUUAUGCUGGAAAACAACACUCAAGGAGCAACUGAGAAAAAUCUGGCUAGUGUGCCGAUUUGUUGGUGGAUGAUUAAGUGAGAAAGAAACAGGUAAUUUUUAGAAAUUAAUUUUUCAAUACUUUGAAUGAAGCGGGUAGCAUGCUACCUUUUCCUCAAAAAAAAAAAAAAAUCGAUA